Molecule: unclassified non-coding RNA, 345 nt
Filed under: soil metagenome
Description: partial contains 5.8S ribosomal RNA, internal transcribed spacer 2, and large subunit ribosomal RNA
Rfam family: 5.8S ribosomal RNA (bases 1-120)
Source: RNAcentral
GAUGAAGAACGUAGCGAAAUGCGAUAAGUAAUGUGAAUUGCAGAACUCAGUGAAUCAUCGAGUCUUUGAACGCACAUUGCGCCCCCUGGUAUUCCGGGGGGCAUGCCUGUCCGAGCGUCAUUGCUGCCCUCAAGCACGGCUUGUGUGUUGGGCCUCCGUCCUCCUCCCGGGGGACGGGCCCGAAAGGCAGCGGCGGCACCGCGUCCGGUCCUCGAGCGUAUGGGGCUUCGUCACCCGCUCUUGUAGGCCCGGCCGGCGCUUGCCGACACAUCAAUCUUUUUCCCAGGUUGACCUCGGAUCAGGUAGGGAUACCCGCUGAACUUAAGCAUAUCAAUAAGCGGAGGA